This 2329-nucleotide long non-coding RNA is filed under the name Homo sapiens (human). RNAcentral describes it as "HSALNT0225527". Lineage: Eukaryota; Metazoa; Chordata; Mammalia; Primates; Hominidae. The record is from RNAcentral.
ACAUUGGUGUGCAAGUGGCAAAAAGAGUCCUGUCCCAGCACUGCAAGGGGAAGAUAAAGGCUCGUCAUCUGUGCGUGCGUCCAUCUGAGUGGAACGAAGAAGGGUUGCCGCAGGUGUGGCCAGAUCCUCUAGGCAAGAGGUGUGGAUUCAGGUCCUACUAGUCUUACUCCUGAUGAAGCUGGGCAAAUCAGUUGGCUCUGGAGUAAUUAGUAGCCCCUUCCUCACUGACCAUUGCAAGGAAAUACCAGUGAACUUGAGUUUCUCCAAUGAAGGUGAUCACAGUGAUGAAUGACUUGGCUUCUGCACAGCAAAAGACAUGAUCAUCAGAGCGAACAGACAACCUACAGAAUGGGAGAGCAUUUGUGCCAUCUAUCCAUCUGACAAAAGUCUAAAAUCCAAAGUUUACAAAGAACUUAAACAAAUUUACAAGAAAAAAACAAACGACCCCGUUAAAAAGUGGGCAAAGGAGAUGAACAGACACUUCUCCAAAGAAGACAUUCAUGCAGCCAACAAAGAUAUGAAAAAAGCUCGACAUUACUACUCAUUAGAGAAAUCCAAAUCAAAACCACAAUGAGAUACCACCACAUGCCAGUCAGAAUGGCAAUUAUUAAAAAGUCAAUAAACAACAGAUGCUGGUGAGAUUGUGGAGAAAAAGGAACACUUUUACACUGUUGGUGGGAAUGUAAAUUAGUUCAAACAUUGUGGAAGACAGUGUGGUGAUUCCUUAAAGAACUAGAAGCAGAAAUACCAUUUGACCCAGCAAUUCCAUUCCUGGGUAUCUACCCAAAGGAAUAUAAAUCAUUUCAUUAUAAAGAUACAUGUACGCGUAUGUUCAUUACAGCACCAAUCACAAUAGCAAAGACAUGGAAUCAAUCCAAAUGCCAAUCAAUGAUAGACUGAAUUAGAAAAAAAAAGUAGUACAUGUAUACCAUGAAUACUAUGCAGCCAUAAAAGGAAUGAGAUCAUGUUCUUUGCAGGGUCAUGGAUGGAGCUGGAAGCCGUUACUUUCAGCAAACUAACACAGGAACAGAAAGCCAAACACUGCAUGUUCUCACUUAUAAGUGAGAGCAGAAUGAUGAGAACACAUGGACACAUUAGGGGGAUCAACACACACUGGGGCCUGUUGUGGGGAUGGAGGGAGGGAGAGCAUCAGAAGAAUAGUUAAUGGAUGUUGGGCUUAAUACCUAGGUGAUGGUUUGUGAUAUGGUUAGGCUUUUUGUCCCCACCCAGAUCUUAUCUUGAAUUGUAAUCCCUGUAAUCGCCAAGUGUCUAGGGAGAUACCUGGUAGGGGGUGAUUAAAUCAUGGGGGCGGUUUCCCCCAUGCUGUGGUUGUACGGAAAAGAAAGAGAGAUCAGACUGUUACCGUGUCUAUGUAGAAAGGAAAGACAUAAGAGACUCCAUUUUGAAAAAGACUUGUACUUUAAACAAUUGCUUUGCUGACAUGUUGUUAAUUUGUAGCUUUGCCCCAACCACUUUGCCCAAACCACUUUGACCCAACCUGGAGCUCACAAAAACAUGUGUUGUAUGAAAUCAAGGUUUAAGGGAUCUAGGGCUGUGCAGGACGUGCCUUAUUAACAAAAUGUUUACAAGCAGUAUACUUGGUAAAAGUCAUUGCCAUUCUCUAGUCUCAGUAAACCAGGGGCACAAUGCACUGCGGAAAGCUGCAGGGACCUCUGCCCUUGAAAGCUGGGUCUUGUCCAAGGUUUCUCCCCAUGCGAUAGUCUGAAAUAUGGCCUCGUGGGAUGAGAAAGACCUGACCGUCCCCCAGCCCGACACCCGUAAAGGGUUUGUGCUGAGGUGGAUUAGUAAAAGAGGAAAGCCUCUUGCAGUUGAGAUAGAGGAAGGCUACUGUCUCCUGCCUGCCCCUGGGAACUGAAUGUCUCGGUAUAAAACCCGAUUGUACAUUUGUUCAAUUCUGAGAUGAGAGGAAAACCACCCUGUGGUGGGAGGCGAGACAUGUUUGCAGCAAUGCUGCCUUGUUAUUCUUUACUCCACUGAGAUGUUUGGGUGGAGAGAAACAUAAAUCUGGCUUACGUGUAUGUCCAGUCAUAGUACCUUCCCUUGAACUUAAUUAUGACGUAGAUUCUAUUGCUCACAUGUUUGUUGCUGACCUUCUCCUUAUUAUCACCCUGCUCUCCUACUACAUUCCUUUUUGCUGAAAUAAUGAAAAUAAUAAUCAAUAAAAACUGAGGGAACUCAGAGACCGGUGCCAGUGCAGGUCCUUGGUAUGCUGAGCGCCGGUCCCCUGGGCCCACUGUUGUUUCUCUGUACUUUGUCUCUGUGUCUUAUUUCUUUUCUCAGUCUCUCGUCCCACCUGACUAGAAAUACC